This 253-nucleotide ribosomal RNA is filed under the name uncultured bacterium. Its description in RNAcentral is "partial 16S ribosomal RNA". It matches the Rfam family "Bacterial small subunit ribosomal RNA", at positions 524 to 776 of the family's 1533-position model. The record is from RNAcentral.
UACGGAGGGUGCGAGCGUUGUCCGGAAUCACUGGGCGUAAAGGGCGCGUAGGCGGCCCGGUAAGUAGGGGGUGAAAUCUUGCGGCUUAACCGCAAGGCUGCCUUCUAAACUGCCAGGCUGGAGCACAGUAGAGGCAGGUGGAAUUCCCGGUGUAGCGGUGGAAUGCGUAGAGAUCGGGAAGAACAUCGGUGGCGAAGGCGGCCUGCUGGGCUGUUGCUGACGCUGAGGCGCGACAGCGUGGGGAGCAAACAGG